GACGAACGCUGGCGGCGUGCUUAACACAUGCAAGUCGAACGGAAAGGCCCUGCUUUUGUGGGGUGCUCGAGUGGCGAACGGGUGAGUAACACGUGAGUAACCUGCCCUUGACUUUGGGAUAACUUCAGGAAACUGGGGCUAAUACCGGAUAGGAGCUCCUGCUGCAUGGUGGGGGGUGGAAAGUUUCGGCGGUUGGGGAUGGACUCGCGGUUUAUCAGCUUGUUGGUGGGGUAGUGGCUUACCAAGGCUUUGACGGGUAGCCGGCCUGAGAGGGUGACCGGCCACAUUGGGACUGAGAUACGGCCCAGACUCCUACGGGAGGCAGCAGUGGGGAAUAUUGCACAAUGGGCGGAAGCCUGAUGCAGCAACGCCGCGUGCGGGAUGACGGCCUUCGGGUUGUAAGCCGCUUUCGCCUGUGACGAAGCGUGAGUGACGGUAAUGGGUAAAGAAGCACCGGCUAACUACGUG
Molecule: ribosomal RNA, 468 nt
Filed under: uncultured bacterium
Lineage: Bacteria
Description: partial 16S ribosomal RNA
Rfam family: Bacterial small subunit ribosomal RNA
Source: RNAcentral